Molecule: long non-coding RNA, 696 nt
Filed under: Bos indicus x Bos taurus (hybrid cattle)
Lineage: Eukaryota; Metazoa; Chordata; Mammalia; Artiodactyla; Bovidae
Description: lncRNA (ENSBIXG00000011336.1)
Source: RNAcentral
GAAGAAACCACCCUCUUUUUCCUCCCCCUCCUCGCACGCCAAGGCCUUUCAACUCGGGCAAUUGCAUCCUCUCAACCCUCCGCCUCCAGCCCCCAGUCAUUAUCUCUGAGUACAGAGCAUCCUUUACAUAUUCACUUACUUAAUCUUCAUACAGGUGCAAUAAGAUACGUUUUAGGCGAUGAGGGAACUGAGACACCAAGAAGUUAAAGAGCUUGUGAAGGUCACACAGUGAGCAAAUGGGAAAGCUGGGAUUCAGAACUAACUGUGUUUGGAGCCUGUGGUCUUGGGCAGGAAGCUUUCUGAGGCGUGUGUGGCAGGGAUAAGAGCCAAAUGGGAUAUAUGGUGCUGGACCUGGGUUACAGGAAGGAACUGUCUCAGAACCUGGCUGACCUGAUUCUGCUGAUAACUCAGCUCGGAAGGACGCCUCAUUGGGAAAGUGAAUCACGUCUAUCACCCUCAUGUUCAGAGAAGCCAUGAAGAAACUGAAUGGAUCUCAGUCCUCUGUCUUUGCUGUCUCCUCUGGAGCGUUCAUCACACAUUGGUGACUCUCUUCCUAGCAGUUAAAUACUGACUUUAAGAAAAAGAAUAUCACCCCAGGGCCCAGAGAAGAAACAUUACCCUGGGCUGAUCUGUCCACUAUUUGAAUUGCAAGAACAAAACUUACCGUCUGAAUGUAACACCUGGAAAGGUCAUCCU